UGCGAGGGCAUAUAGUCCUCGCUUUUCUCAACCGUAGGGAGGUUGAGGAACAAGUGCUGGGCAAGACCGGUGCCAGCCGCCGCGGUAAUACCGGCAGCACAAGUGAUGACCGCUGUUAUUGGGCCUAAAGCGUCCGUAGCUGGCCAGACAAGUUCAUCGGGAAAUCUGCGCGCCUAACGCGCAGGCGUCCGGUGGAAACUGCCUGGCUUGGGACCGGAAGACCAGAGGGGUACGUCUGGGGUAGGAGUGAAAUCCCGUAAUCCUGGACGGACCACCGGUGGCGAAAGCGCCUCUGGAAGACGGAUCCGACGGUGAGGGACGAAAGCUCGGGUCACGAACCGGAUUAGAUACCCGGGUAGUCCGAGCUGUAAACGAUGUCUGCUAGGUGUGACACAGGCUACGAGCCUGUGUUGUGCCGUAGGGAAGCCGUGAAGCAGACCGCCUGGGAAGUACGUCCGCAAGGAUGAAACUUAAAGGAAUUGGCGGGGGGAGCACAAAA
Molecule: ribosomal RNA, 499 nt
Filed under: Natrialba sp. AT14
Lineage: Archaea; Methanobacteriati; Methanobacteriota; Halobacteria; Halobacteriales; Natrialbaceae
Description: bacterial SSU rRNA
Rfam family: Archaeal small subunit ribosomal RNA
Source: RNAcentral